This 652-nucleotide ribosomal RNA is filed under the name Carcinus maenas (green crab). RNAcentral describes it as "SSU rRNA". It matches the Rfam family "Eukaryotic small subunit ribosomal RNA", at positions 685 to 1332 of the family's 1831-position model. The record is from RNAcentral. Lineage: Eukaryota; Metazoa; Arthropoda; Malacostraca; Decapoda; Carcinidae.
CAGCCACAACAGCCCGCUGGCUCGCACGGGGUGCUCUUCAUCGAGUGUCCCGCGUGGCCGGCAGAGUUUACUUUGAAAAAAUUAGAGUGCUCAAAGCAGGCUACACUGACGGCCUGAAUGCCUAUGCAUGGAAUAAUGGAAUAGGACCUCGGUUCUAUUUUGUCGGUUUUCUGAACCCGAGGUAAUGACUAAUAGGAACAGGCGGGGGCAUUCGUAUUGCGACGCUAGAGGUGAAAUUCUUGGACCGUCGCAAGACGAACUACUGCGAAAGCAUUUGCCAAGGAUGUUUUCAUUAAUCAAGAACGAAAGUUAGAGGUUCGAAGGCGAUCAGAUACCGCCCUAGUUCUAACCAUAAACGAUGCUGACCAGCGAUCCGCCGGUGUUAUUCCCAUGACCCGGCGGGCAGCUUCCGGGAAACCAAAGUCUUUGGGUUCCGGGGGAAGUAUGGUUGCAAAGCUGAAACUUAAAGGAAUUGACGGAAGGGCACCACCAGGAGUGGAGCCUGCGGCUUAAUUUGACUCAACACGGGGAACCUCACCAGGCCCAGACACCGGAAGGAUUGACAGAUUGAGAGCUCUUUCUUGAUUCGGUGGGUGGUGGUGCAUGGCCGUUCUUANUUGGUGGAGCGAUUUGUCUGGUUAAUUCCGAUAAC